CUCAGAAAUGCUGGUCACUGGAGGUUCUCCGGUCUGACUAGGAGAAGCUGGGAUUCUUGGAACUUCAGUCUUGAGGUACAAGUACCCUGUAGCCUUAAAUCGCCUUUCCAAUGGAUUCAUCCAAAGCUUUCCCAAACAGCACCUCCCCUUCAAAAGAAUGGUGUAGAGGGCAGACUUGAAGGAUGAGUCAACCAUAAUGCUUUCCUAGAUGCUACAGAUAAAACCAUUUGAGCAAGAGAAUAUCCCAGUUACCUCUAGGGGAGCUUCUGUGAAGAGGUCCGUUGUAACCUGAAGACUUCAGACUGCUUCUUCA
This is a non-coding RNA of Pelobates cultripes (western spadefoot toad), 313 nucleotides long. The record is from the annotation of a GenBank genome assembly. Lineage: Eukaryota; Metazoa; Chordata; Amphibia; Anura; Pelobatidae.